GAUAGGCACACUGACGAGAUACUAUCAAAGAAGGUCAAUUAAAAGCUGGCUCCAGACCAACCGAGCAAGGACGAGCGAGCGUAAACGAACAUUUACACGACGAACAAAAGCGAGCGUAAAAUGCGAGUCAAGACACCGACGAGCGUCAAUAUUGGAUCUUUUGACGUACUGACAAGAGAUCAUUAUUCAAUUUGUACAUACAUAUCAUGUACUGACAAGGAAAAGAACCGUUCAUAUACCAUUCAUCCACCAAUGAGAUACUAUCAAAAGAUGGGAGCCGAGUGAACAAACACGAACGAACACGAAUGAACUACGAACAAACUUUAUUCCUUGACGAUUGGAGUAUGUAACGAGCAUGAAUGAAUUCAAAUAUACACGGAGUGUUGUGGUAGUUUA
Wasmannia auropunctata (little fire ant) is the source of this 396-nucleotide long non-coding RNA. RefSeq lists it as uncharacterized. The transcript has 2 exons. The record is from RefSeq and is a predicted model, not a curated record. Lineage: Eukaryota; Metazoa; Arthropoda; Insecta; Hymenoptera; Formicidae.